UGGGGAAUAUUGGACAAUGGGCGCAAGCCUGAUCCAGCCAUGCCGCGUGAGUGAUGAAGGCCCUAGGGUUGUAAAGCUCUUUCGCCAGGGACGAUAAUGACGGUACCUGGAGAAGAAGCCCCGGCUAACUUCGUGCCAGCAGCCGCGGUAAUACGAAGGGGGCUAGCGUUGUUCGGAAUCACUGGGCGUAAAGCGCACGUAGGCGGAUCUUUAAGUCAGGGGUGAAAUCCCGAGGCUCAACCUCGGAACUGCCUUUGAUACUGGGGAUCUCGAGUCCGGGAGAGGUGAGUGGAACUGCGAGUGUAGAGGUGAAAUUCGUAGAUAUUCGCAAGAACACCAGUGGCGAAGGCGGCUCACUGGCCCGGAACUGACGCUGAGGUGCGAAAGCGUGGGGAGCAAACA
This 402-nucleotide ribosomal RNA is filed under the name uncultured Methylosinus sp. RNAcentral describes it as "bacterial SSU rRNA". It matches the Rfam family "Bacterial small subunit ribosomal RNA", at positions 355 to 774 of the family's 1533-position model. The record is from RNAcentral. Lineage: Bacteria; Pseudomonadati; Pseudomonadota; Alphaproteobacteria; Hyphomicrobiales; Methylocystaceae.